This 1441-nucleotide ribosomal RNA is filed under the name uncultured organism. Its description in RNAcentral is "SSU rRNA". It matches the Rfam family "Bacterial small subunit ribosomal RNA". The record is from RNAcentral.
UUCAGGAUGAACGCUAGCUACAGGCUUAACACAUGCAAGUCGAGGGGCAUCAGGAAGAAAGCUUGCUUUCUUUGCUGGCGACCGGCGCACGGGUGAGUAACACGUAUCCAACCUGCCCUUUACUCGGGGAUAGCCUUUCGAAAGAAAGAUUAAUACCCGAUAGCAUAAUGAUUCCGCAUGGUUUCAUUAUUAAAGGAUUCCGGUAAAGGAUGGGGAUGCGUUCCAUUAGGUUGUUGGUGAGGUAACGGCCCACCAAGCCUUCGAUGGAUAGGGGUUCUGAGAGGAAGGUCCCCCACAUUGGAACUGAGACACGGUCCAAACUCCUACGGGAGGCAGCAGUGAGGAAUAUUGGUCAAUGGGCGCUAGCCUGAACCAGCCAAGUAGCGUGAAGGAUGAAGGCUCUAUGGGUCGUAAACUUCUUUUAUAUAAGAAUAAAGUGCAGUAUGUAUACUGUUUUGUAUGUAUUAUAUGAAUAAGGAUCGGCUAACUCCGUGCCAGCAGCCGCGGUAAUACGGAGGAUCCGAGCGUUAUCCGGAUUUAUUGGGUUUAAAGGGAGCGUAGGUGGACUGGUAAGUCAGUUGUGAAAGUUUGCGGCUCAACCGUAAAAUUGCAGUUGAUACUGUCAGUCUUGAGUACAGUAGAGGUGGGCGGAAUUCGUGGUGUAGCGGUGAAAUGCUUAGAUAUCACGAAGAACUCCGAUUGCGAAGGCAGCUCACUGGACUGCAACUGACACUGAUGCUCGAAAGUGUGGGUAUCAAACAGGAUUAGAUACCCUGGUAGUCCACACAGUAAACGAUGAAUACUCGCUGUUUGCGAUAUACAGUAAGCGGCCAAGCGAAAGCAUUAAGUAUUCCACCUGGGGAGUACGCCGGCAACGGUGAAACUCAAAGGAAUUGACGGGGGCCCGCACAAGCGGAGGAACAUGUGGUUUAAUUCGAUGAUACGCGAGGAACCUUACCCGGGCUUAAAUUGCAGUGGAAUGAUGUGGAAACAUGUCAGUGAGCAAUCACCGCUGUGAAGGUGCUGCAUGGUUGUCGUCAGCUCGUGCCGUGAGGUGUCGGCUUAAGUGCCAUAACGAGCGCAACCCUUAUCUUUAGUUACUAACAGGUUAUGCUGAGGACUCUAGAGAGACUGCCGUCGUAAGAUGUGAGGAAGGUGGGGAUGACGUCAAAUCAGCACGGCCCUUACGUCCGGGGCUACACACGUGUUACAAUGGGGGGUACAGAAGGCAGCUAGCGGGUGACCGUAUGCUAAUCCCAAAAUCCUCUCUCAGUUCGGAUCGAAGUCUGCAACCCGACUUCGUGAAGCUGGAUUCGCUAGUAAUCGCGCAUCAGCCACGGCGCGGUGAAUACGUUCCCGGGCCUUGUACACACCGCCCGUCAAGCCAUGGGAGCCGGGGGUACCUGAAGUACGUAACCGCAAGGAUCGUCCUAGGGUAAAA